UUGGCCAUAUCAUAAUGAAACACCAGUUCUCAAUAUGAUCACUGAAGUUAAGCAACAUUGAACCUGGUCAAUACCAAGAUGAGUGACUGCUUGGGAAUACCAGGGGCUGUAAG
Non-coding RNA from Acanthosepion pharaonis, 113 nucleotides. NCBI's taxonomy places the organism in Eukaryota, Metazoa, Mollusca, Cephalopoda, Sepiida, Sepiidae. The record is from the annotation of a GenBank genome assembly.